GGAGAGGAAGGGCUAUGUAGCAUGGCAGUGUGGUUCCCUGCCACCCCAGAGAGGGACAAGCCCCUCCAAAUACCAGAGUGGGCAGAGCCAGCAAAUCCCAUGCUUGCCCCCCAGAGGUCAAGGUGCAGGACAGGAAGUAUAAAAGCCUGGCCUCAGAGCUUACUCAGAAACUAGCUGCUAGAGAAGCCAGAUGCCUCUGGCCUAGCUCCUGGUUGGGAGACCCUAGUGACCUAUGGCAGACCGGAGGACUGGCCUGAUCUGCUGACACCUGAUGCUGACCAGAGCCCGGAGGAGUUGCCCUGCCUGCCCCUUGCUAGUUAUGCAAAGGACCCCAUGGUGCUCGACGCCCCUGAGCACACCAUCUGGACCCAGGUGGAAAGAGAGACAAAUGCUGCCAUCCCAAACCGUGACAGCUCUGUAUUGGAAUAAACUAAAUUUGCUCUCAUUCAUCCACCCUACUAUGGGUUGAUUCUUCCAAGUAUUGGAUUUCCAACAAGGAUCAUCUGUCUUCCUUGGACGAUUGGAGGCGUCUUUGCAGACAAGCUUGAUUUUCUGACAGGUUGGGCCAACCUGCCAUUCAUAUGUGUGUGUGUCUCAUACAUCUCUGUUCCCUUGGACCUGCUGGAUCCUGAGAGGUAUCUUCCAUAGAUUCCAUGAUGAGGAGGGAGAUCUGGAGUGGCAAAAAAGACUGAUUAAAGGAAAAUCUGGUUCAAUGUCUUUCAUAUGAAAUUUCCAUUCAGUUUCUCUUCUUUCUCAUGUUGAUAGCACCAACAGUUUCUUCCUCAGAUGCUCGUGAGUAAGGGAUCCUAUACCCCUUAAGUUUGCCCAAUUUAUUCUGAGCUGAAGAACAAGAAUCAAACAGAGAUGACUUGGAAAAAACUCCAGAUUGAAUGAAAAAGUGACACUCAUCCAUGGGGCCUGAUCUUGCAUAGUUUGAACACCCUACACUCCCAUUGAUUUCAAUAGGAAUAAUGUAGGAUUGACUCCCAUAAGAAAAUUUGGAUAGAAAAUCUGAGGGAAAACCUUUGUCACCUGGAUAUUUAAUCUGUUUUAAAUUAAUUAAACCAAUUCUACAUUUAUAUUGCAAAAGUAACAUCUGCUAUGAUUUCAAUUGCAGAAAGUAAAUAUUUCUGCAGCUGAAGAAAGUUUCAGUAAUAGAGAUGAUUGAAACAUUCACAUGUGUACUACAUAUUAGAAAUAUUAAUCUCAACAUAAGAGAAACUGAUGUCAAGAGAAGUUAAUUCUUGGAAUUUUAUUAGCACAGCCUGAAAGAGUCAAAACUUAUUUAAGAUGAUAUUUAUAUAACAGGUCCCACUGAAAUCAAUGGGAGUUCUGAGAUUAAUACUGAAGUAAAGCAGGGUCAGGCCCUAAAGGUCCAUGCUUUCAGUGUCAUGAUACAUGUCAAGAGCUUUAAUCACUCUUGCUUGGCGAAUAAAUCUUAUCUGAUUCACAGAUUUUAUGAAAGCAUUAAGCAAAGUUGGGGAAAACAGGUAGCACAAAUCUUUGCUUCUAAACGACCUGUGAAAAAUCAUUUUAUGAAAUAAAGUGGAUUUUUCUAAUGCAGCUUUUUGAGGCUGGUGAAAUAAUGAGUCAUUUUAUCUGGAAACUAGACUUGUUGAUAUUUAUUUUUUAGCAGUCAUUCACAUCUAUUUCUUGGUAAUGCCUUAUUAGCAAGAUAGUUAUCUUAAAGACUUUUUUAUUUUGAGACUUGGCUUUACUAUACAUCAGUGGAAGCAAUCUUUGCAACUUUGGUCACAUAAUAGUUGUUCAUCUACUUUAAGGUCUGAUUCCUGGUACGGUGUGCCCUAUGGCUAUUCUUGAAAGGUAUGUCAAUGCCUAAAAAUGUAGAUGAGCACCUAGUAGGAUUUACAUCAGCUCCUAUGCUGGUUAGACACCUAACUUGCAUUCAUUGAGACAAAGGGGGAAAAAAGUGAGAAUGAGUCUAUAGCUUCGUGUUUAGAGCACUCACCUGCUUUACUUAAUAUUUAUUUAUUUAUACACAGUACAACAGAUUCAACAGGAGAGACUGAAAGAGCCCUACCCUAGAAUAUUUGUUACCCAGGUAGUUAGGACACUCUCCUUGCAGGGGUGAGCCCCAAGUUUAAAUCCUUGUUCCACAUCAUGCAGUGAGGUGACCUGAACCUAGAGGUUUCACGGGCUAAUUGUAUGUUCUAUCCAGUCAUCUGAAACAUAUAAGAAGGGCAUCUCUUCCAGCUGUUAGGCACACUCUGAGUAUAUCUACCUGAUGGGUGCCCCAUAGGCAAGAUAGGCAGGGAUGCCUAGUUUGAGGAUCCCAUUGGGGCUUCAGUGUGUGUUAGUCUUCCAGGUGCCUCGAGUGAGGAGGCUGCACACAUUUUGCUGGCAGAUUUUUAGGUGCCAUGGGGACUUUAAUGGCAGAAAUUUAGGACUUUAGGUAGAGUUAGGCAGCAGCUGAGUGGGGUUUUGGGGGAUAUCAAUGAUACUAUGGUCUUUUUGAGGCAGUAUCCUUAGGGGCCUAACUCACUUAGGUACUUUUGAAAAUCCCACUAAGCCAACUACAUAUUAAGUCCCUAAAUACCUGUAAAAUAUAGCCCUUGUUUUCUUCCCCUUUUGCAUUCAUGGAACUCUUCUUUGUUCACUGAAAUGUUCUUUAGAAUAUUUAUGUUGUGUUUUUUGUCUCUGAUCCCAACACCAGCUGGUUAGAAAAUUGACCAGGUGCACUCUCUACCAUCUCCUCUCUAACACUUAUUAAACAAGUGAGAAAAUAUAAUUGGGACAUUCUCUGUUUCUCACUUCAUAAGGUUAUACAUCUUCUGGAAUAGUAAUGAGUGCAUUUUAAUAUGGUUGUUUUAUCAGACCAAUAAAAUAAUGUAAAAAACCCC
Dermochelys coriacea (leatherback sea turtle) is the source of this 2861-nucleotide long non-coding RNA. RefSeq lists it as uncharacterized. The transcript has 3 exons. Lineage: Eukaryota; Metazoa; Chordata; Testudines; Dermochelyidae. The record is from RefSeq and is a predicted model, not a curated record.